This 468-nucleotide ribosomal RNA is filed under the name uncultured bacterium. RNAcentral describes it as "partial 16S ribosomal RNA". It matches the Rfam family "Bacterial small subunit ribosomal RNA", at positions 28 to 507 of the family's 1533-position model. The record is from RNAcentral.
GACGAACGCUGGCGGCGUGCUUAACACAUGCCAGUCGAACGGAAAGGCCCUGCUUUUGUGGGGUGCUCGAGUGGCGAACGGGUGAGUAACACGUGAGUAACCUGCCCUUGACUUUGGGAUAACUUCAGGAAACUGGGGCUAAUACCGGAUAGGAGCUCCUGCUGCAUGGUGGGGGUUGGAAAGUUUCGGCGGUUGGGGAUGGACUCGCGGCUUAUCAGCUUGUUGGUGGGGUAGUGGCUUACCAAGGCUUUGACGGGUAGCCGGCCUGAGAGGGUGACCGGCCACAUUGGGACUGAGAUACGGCCCAGACUCCUACGGGAGGCAGCAGUGGGGAAUAUUGCACAAUGGGCGGAAGCCUGAUGCAGCAACGCCGCGUGCGGGAUGACGGCCUUCGGGUUGUAAACCGCUUUAGCCUGUGACGAAGCGUGAGUGACGGUAAUGGGUAAAGAAGCACCGGCUAACUACGUG